UGGGGAAUCUUCCGCAAUGGACGAAAGUCUGACGGAGCAACGCCGCGUGAGUGAAGAAGGUUUUCGGAUCGUAAAACUCUGUCUUUUGGGGCGAACGUGAGUAUGGUGAACAAUCAUAGUCAGUGACGGUACCAAAGGAGGAAGCCACGGCUAACUACGUGCCAGCAGCCGCGGUAAUACGUAGGUGGCAAGCGUUGUCCGGAAUUAUUGGGCGUAAAGAGCGCGUAGGCGGGAUAGUCAGUCUGUUGUAAAGUGCGGGGCUCAACCCCGUGAUCGCAAUGGAAACAGCUAUUCUUGAGUGCAGGAGAGGAAAGUGGAAUUCCCAGUGUAGCGGUGAAAUGCGUAGAUAUUGGGAGGAACACCAGUGGCGAAGGCGACUUUCUGGACUGUGUCUGACGCUGAGGCGCGAAAGCCAGGGGAGCGAACGGGAUUAGAUACCCCGGUAGUCCUGGCCGUAAACGAUGGGUACUAGGUGUGGGAGGUAUCGACCCCCUUUCCGUGCCGGAGUUAACGCAAUAAGUACCCCGCCUGGGGAGUACGGUCGCAAGACUGAAACUUAAAUGAAUUGACGGGGUCAUAGCUGUUUCCUG
Molecule: ribosomal RNA, 590 nt
Filed under: uncultured bacterium
Lineage: Bacteria
Description: partial 16S ribosomal RNA
Rfam family: Bacterial small subunit ribosomal RNA
Source: RNAcentral